CUUCAUUUCGAGGCCAGUUAUCUCACUGGACAUCCCAGUGACAACUGAUGCUGAUGCAGAAGCUCACUCUUCUGGUGAUUAAAAGCCCACAUUCCUAGUCUUGUUUCUCUUGAAGGACCUUGUUCUCCUCAUUAUCCUUAUAUUCAUCCUCAUUCAUCUAUUCUUUAUGCAGCUCUUCAGGCUCCCGGAUGCAGUUUUCUCACUGAGAAAUGCAAUAACACCUUCAAGUGCUUUGCUUGCACACCAUAUAACUAUUUUAAAAUACAAUUCUUUAAUAAGAGCUACCCAGAUAAUCCCAGAGAGCGUGGGUUCUCACAAGGGAUUCUCUCACAGGUGUAUACUGUGCGCUGUUUUUUUUUCCUAUUCCUGCACUGUUUUUUCCUAUAACCUGCACUGUAUUUUUCCUAUUCCCUUCAGAAUAUAUACACAAAGAUAUGGCAGUUCUUCACCAUGUCUACUGCUCUUGGGCAAAGAGUUAAUUCAUGCAAGUGGGAAAAAAGGUCUGCUUGGAUAGCAAGUUGUUUGCUUUCACCUGAAAAACUCAGGGUCCUGAACACAAUUCACUGUGAUGGACGUGGUUAUCCCAACAGCAGAUAAAGAGACUAAGACUGAGCCUAUCCGAACAUCUAGCAAUUUUGCCCUAAAGCAAAAGGAUGGCUUGAGAGGUUAGUACACUAUUGCCCCUGGAAUAUAAAAUGGAUGUUAUCACAUUCCUCCAGCCUGCAAAUAUUUUCCUUUCUGUGUCCUCUGACGGUGAUUAUUGUUUAAUCCUCCUUAUUCUCCCUGACAUCAAGCAAUUCCAGCAGCAGGGCAGAAAUCCAGCACCAGCGCUGGACCUGCGUCCUGGAGAAAACCUCACGCCGGAGCCGGGCAGCCGUCAUGCAAAGCUCUGCCCCAUCUGAGGGUCUCGAGGGAGGUGAUGCUGUCCUCUGACGUGCAUCGACCGUCCGGGAAGCCUGCUGCUCUUCGUCCUGUGCUGCCAUCGCGGGGAGAACAAGCUGUCGCAGAGAGCCAGGGAGCUUUUUCCACCUCUCUCCAAAGUGCCAGGGACCGGCCCUUGCUGAACACGGGCCUCUGGCAGGAGGGAUUCAUGCUUGGUACAGAAAACUCUUACACGCUCACAUGAGCUCUGACCUCCGAGGCCAUUUGGUGUGUGGAGCAGAGGAAAACACUGCCCAUUUUGGGGGGCAUUAAUCCUAGGCCCUAGCUACUUGCAGGCUCAGGUGGACAUGGCACGUGUGAACUCCGGUGAUUUCUGCUCAGGCUCAGGAAUUAACGAUUGGCUUUUAAAAGGCAGCAGGAGAAUGAGGAUGCACAGCCACGGUGAGGUGCUGCUGGCAUCAGCAGGGUGUCAACGCGAUGAGUUUCUCCUAUCAAAGCUUCCCUAGCCCGUGUCUCAGUUCCCUAUAUUCGAUCCAUGUAAUUACAGGUAGUUUUAGUCAGUGUAAUUAUCACAUCUGGUUUGUAAAGGGCCGUAUUUACAGAUAAAAGCUAUAAAAAGUGUGUUUGUAAAGGUAUUUAUAGCCAAAAGGGUUGCAAGAGUAUGUCAACACCCCCAGUCCCCGAUUAAUAAGAAAGCUAAUAAAAGCUAAAAGAGGACAGGGGGUGUGACUCCUUAUUUUCCAGAAAUACAACUCAUGAUCCAAAUUCCCGGUUUCAUCACUCUGUCUCCUAAACAUUCUCGCUGAAUGAGUGUGUCUCACCCUUUUUUUUUUCGUAUUUCUCACCCUUUUUGCCCUUGUUGUAAGAGUAGGGAUGGUAAAACUCCAAACUUUCUUUUGCAGAUCAGAGGAGCAUCAAAGGGAAGCCCAAGAGCUUCUGAGAUAGGGCUCAUCUUCCACUUCCAAGGCAGCGUGGGGUUUUACACAGCAUAAUAACAUGGUCCCUUGGCAGUAAUUUCCACUUGCUGGUGUAGCCAAAUCACCAUUGACUGUGGAGCAGAAAGCUGCUUCAGCUCUCGUGUCACUGAGAUCCUCCAGAGCAGCCUGCAAACUCGUACUGCUUGUCUAAAGAAUUAAUUUUAUGAACUACUAUUUCAGAACAAGCACGAUGGCACGCUACUGCCGCGCACUCCAACAGUACCCAGGAGCAGCCCACCACCAGAUCUCAUUAAACUUCAUUUUACAUCACCGCUGCUAUUUUGUAAGUCAAACCUAUUUUCACAUCAGCAAGGCUUUUGAAGAUGGGGGAGGAAAGGAACCGCAGAGUGAAAGCAGAUGUUCGGUUGGUGCACUUUCAUUUUUUUUUUCCAGUUCCCUGAUGAGAACCUCGUGCCAGUGCUAGCUCUGCUCUGCGGGGCCCAUGGGGCAGAAUAUUGGGACAGGACAUUCAGUAUUCCCUCUUGAAGCUCACCGGGUCCCCAAAACAAGGGCCAGAAAUCAUCGUGUUUUCAACCAACUAGAUUUCAGAGGCUGUUAUCAGUAUUUCUUAAUUAGUGUGUGGUGCCCUGGUGACCUCCGAGGGUUGUGUAAAGAA
Long non-coding RNA from Oxyura jamaicensis (ruddy duck), 2475 nucleotides. RefSeq lists it as uncharacterized. The record is from RefSeq and is a predicted model, not a curated record. NCBI's taxonomy places the organism in Eukaryota, Metazoa, Chordata, Aves, Anseriformes, Anatidae. The transcript has 5 exons.